RNAcentral lists this transfer RNA (85 nucleotides) under Thermoproteota archaeon. RNAcentral's name for it is "tRNA-Leu". It matches the Rfam family "tRNA". Rfam says of the family: Transfer RNA (tRNA) molecules are approximately 80 nucleotides in length. Their secondary structure includes four short double-helical elements and three loops (D, anti-codon, and T loops). Further hydrogen bonds mediate the characteristic L-shaped molecular structure. tRNAs have two regions of fundamental functional importance: the anti-codon, which is responsible for specific mRNA codon recognition, and the 3' end, to which the tRNAs corresponding amino acid is attached (by aminoacyl-tRNA synthetases). tRNAs cope with the degeneracy of the genetic code in two manners: having more than one tRNA (with a specific anti-codon) for a particular amino acid; and 'wobble' base-pairing, i.e. permitting non-standard base-pairing at the 3rd anti-codon position. Lineage: Archaea; Thermoproteati; Thermoproteota. The record is from RNAcentral.
GCGGGGGUUGCCAAGCCAGGUCAAAGGCGUGAGGCUCAGAACCUCAUCCCUCAGGGGUUCAUGGGUUCAAAUCCCAUCCCCCGCA